This is an RNA transcript of Colossoma macropomum (tambaqui), 6265 nucleotides long. It is a transcript of the gene named NACHT, LRR and PYD domains-containing protein 12-like, with no coding region annotated. Lineage: Eukaryota; Metazoa; Chordata; Actinopteri; Characiformes; Serrasalmidae. The transcript is spliced from 12 exons. The record is from RefSeq and is a predicted model, not a curated record.
GACUGCUGGACUUUGAUACAGGAAGACAGUCCCACCCUGUAAAUUCCCUUUAACUUCCAGCAUUUCCUGCUGUGGUGGGGAACUAAGCCAGUCCAAAUGGAACAGAGUGGUAGGAAGAUCUUCAGCAGCAUCUGUUCUGUGAAGAGAACAUCAUAAACAGCAUUUGGAGAGAAAGUGAAAAAAGAUAAGGUAUAAUCUGAAGAAGGAACCAUGACCUCCACAAUGAGUUGCUCUGAGGAACAAUACUCCCAGAAAACUAGGAGAUGGGAGAAUCGUGUGAUUUGGUCUAAAGUCAGAUUGGUUCAGGGUCAGAGCUCUGACUCACCUAAACACAGCUGUGUGUUAAUGAAGAAUGACCACUCAACGGACAGAGUAAUACACUUCAGAGAGGAUAGCAGUGCUGCUGAGCUCAGAAUGAGAAAGAGAAAGAGAUCAGAUUCACCUCCACCCACCUGUGUGUCCAUGAAGAGCAACUGGUCAAUGGACCAUCCAUUUAACUUCAGAGAGAAGGAAAGUUCUACUGAGCAGAGAAUGAGAAAGAGAAAGAGAUCAGAUUCACCUCCACCCACCUGUGUGUCCAUGAAGAGCAACUGGUCAAUGGACCAUCCAUUUAACUUCAGAGAGAAGGAAAGUUCUACAGAGCAGAGGCAGCACACCACACCGACAGCACUGAAGAUUAACAUUUUGACAGAUAUUUACCAACCGGUGGAUAGUGUCUUUCACAGAGUCUUAGAAAGACACAAAACCAACAUGAAGAACAAGUAUGAGAGCUUAUUUGAGGGAAUCAAAACAGAGGAGAAUGAAACCCUCCUGAACAGGAUUUACACAGAGCUCUACAUCAUAGAGGGAGAGAGUGAAGGAGUGAAUGAAGAACAUGAGGUUUUACAGAUAGAGAAAACAUCCAGGAGACACUUACAAGACUCUCCAAUUAACUGCUUAGAUAUAUUUAAACCUCUACAAGGUCCUGAAGGAGAAACACAAGAAGAGAACUUUAGAGAUGUGAUGGCUAACAGUCUCAGACUCAAAGAAAGAAAAGAAGAUAACAGACCAGAAGAGCCAGAGCUCAGAGCUGUUCUGACUAAAGGCAUUGCUGGAAUUGGAAAAACUGUCUCUGUGCAGAAGUUCAUCCUGGACUGGGCUGAAGGAAAAGCCAAUCAGGAUGUAGAGUUAAUGUUUUUGCUUCCAUUACGGGAGCUGAACUUAAUUAAAGAUGAUCAGUACAGUCUUCAUGGACUUCUGUGUGACUUUCAUCCUGAGCUAAAUGAUCUGGACCCAAACAUUUAUGGUCAGCUAAGAACUGUGUUUAUAUUUGAUGGUCUGGAUGAAAGCAGAAUUCCACUGAACUUUGAGCAGUGUGAGAAAAUAUCUGACAUCACCAUGACAUCAUCAGUGGGUGUGUUGAUGACAAACCUCAUCAAAGGAGAGCUGCUUCCCUCUGCUCUGAUCUGGAUAACCUCCCGACCAGCAGCAGCCAAUCAGAUCCCUCCUAAAUACAUCAACCGUGUCACAGAAAUUCAGGGAUUCAGUGACCCACAGAAGGAAGAGUACUUCAGGAAGAGGAUCAGUGAUGAAGACCAAGCCAAGAGAAUCAUCUCACACAUUAAGACAGUGAGGAGCCUCCACAUCAUGUGCCACAUUCCAGUUUUCUGCUGGAUCUCAGCCACUGUUCUUCAGCAAAUAAUGAAACAGCAUAAUACAGAAAUCCCUACAACUCUGACUGGAAUGUACUCACACUUCCUGAUCACUCAGACCAACAUGAAGAACGAGAAGUAUGAGGAGAAAGAUGAGGGAGACCCAAAGAACCUGCUGGAAUCCAGCAGAACCAUUCUUCUGAAAUUGGCUGAACUGGCUUUCAAACAGCUGAUGAAGGGCAAUAUGAUGUUCUAUGAAGAGGACCUGAGAGAGAGCAGCAUUGAUGUCACUGAGGCCUCAGUGUUUUCUGGGAUUUUCACUGAGAUCUUUAGGGAGGAAUUUGUGCUUUACCAGAGAAAGGUCUACUGCUUUGUUCAUCUGAGCUUUCAGGAGUUCCUGGCUGCUGUUUUUGUGUUUCACUGCUAUGAGAGCAGAAACAUGGAGGAACUGCAGAUAUUUAAACCACUAAACAGCGAGUGGUGUGAGGAUGUUCCUCUAGAUGAGGUGCUGAAUGGAGCAGUAAAUACAGCUGUUAAAAGUCAGAAUGGACACCUGGAUCUUUUCCUCCGUUUCCUGCUGGGCAUCUCAGUGAAGUCCAAUCAGACACUACAGGGUCUACUGACGCACACACAGUGCAGCUCAGAGAAAACUAGAGAGCACAUCAAGAGUUUAAUCAAAGAUGAUGAAUAUAAACAAUAUCACAUCUCCACUGAGAGAUCCAUCAAUCUGUUCCUCUGUCUGUCUGAAAUGAAUGACCAGUCUCUCUACAGAGAGAUUCAGAAGUAUCUAAAAUCAAAGAAACACUCAGAGGUGAGACUCUCUCCUGGACAGUGUUCAGCACUAACAUAUAUGAUUCUGAACUCAGAGGAGGUUCUGGAUGAGCUGGACCUGAAAAAAUACAACACAUCAAAGAAGGGUUAUAAGAGACUGAUCUCAGCUCUGACUGUCUGCAGAAUAGCUCGACUAAAUGGCUGCUAUAUCACCAAGGACUGCUGUGACACUCUCUGUGCAACUCUACAAUCUGUGAACUCCCCUAUAAAAGAGCUGGACCUCAGUAACAAUGAUUUGCAAGAUUCAGGAGUCGAGCUGCUCUCUGCUGGACUGAAGAGUUUACAUUGUAAACUGGAGAUACUCAGACUAACCAGCUGUAGUCUCAACAAAAACUCCUGUGAAAAUCUGUCAUCAAUUCUACAAUCAGAAAACUCUUCUCUGAAAGAGCUAGACCUUGGUAACAAUGACCUGCAGGAUUCAGGAGUGGAGCUGCUCUCUGCUGGACUGAAGAACUCACACUGUAAACUGAAGGCACUCAGACUAUACAUCUGUGGUCUUGGUGAAAAAGCUUGUGAGAAUCUGGGAUCAGUUAUACAGUCAGCAAACUCCUCCCUGAAAGAGCUGGACCUCAGCAACAAUGAACUCCAGGAUUUAGGAGUGGAGCUGCUCUCUGCUGGACUGAAGAAUUCAUACUGUAAACUGGAGACACUCAGAUUGUCUGGGUGUAUGGUUUCAAAUGAAGGAUGUUCAUCUCUGGCUUCAGCUCUGAAAUCAAAUCCCUCCCACCUGAGAGAACUGGAUCUGACCUAUAAUCACCCAGGAGAGUCUGGAGUGAAGCUGCUGGCUGAUCUAUUGGAGGAUCCACUCUGCGCACUGGAGAAACUACAGGUGGAUCAUGGAGGGAAGAUCAGGAUUAAACCAGGACUGAAGAAAUAUGCUGUUGAUCUCACUCUGGAUCCAAACACAAUGAACAGAUUUGUCUCACUGUCUGAGAGGAACAGAAAGGUGGAUGGUAUGAGAGAAGAUCAGCAUUAUCCAGAUCAUCCAGACAGAUUUGAUAUCUGGUCUCAGGUUCUGAGUGUGGAGACUCUGACUGGGCGCUGUUAUUGGGAGGUUCAGUGGAGUGGGGUUGCAGCUGAUAUAUCAGUAUCAUACAGAGGAAUCAGAAGGAAAGGAGACAGUGAUGACUGUGAGUUUGGAAAUAAUAGACUCUCCUGGAGUCUGGAGUGCUUUAGUAACAGUCACUCUGUCGGUCACAAUAAUCAGAAAACUGCUCUACCUGCGCCCCCCUCCCCCUCUAACAGAGUAGGGGUGUAUCUGGACUGGGAGUCUGGCACAGUGUCCUUCUACACCAUCUCACCUUACACACACACACUAACCCACCUACACACAUUCACCACCACAUUCACUGAACCGCUCUACGCUGGGAUUAGAGUUUAUUAUAACUCCUCAGUGAGUCUGUGUGAAAUAGAAUAACCUUUACAGAGAGAGAGGGACAGAAACAAAGAGCAUUUUAGUGUAAAAUAUGCUUGUUGUUUAGCAUUUGAUCUCAGACUGUGAAUAUGAGUCUGAGAUCCGAAUACAACUCAAAUCAGUUGGUUCACAGGUGUGGUAUUUUGAAAGGCAGUGCCUUGAAAUGACAAAAAAGUGACAUCAUGUUAGAUUUCUGUGUCUAAAAAAGAGAAGUGUGUUUAGUGUUUGUGUAGUGUUUAGCUACAAGCCUCAGAAUGUGCUCAUAAUUGUGCAGAUGGGGUUAAAGAUUUGCUUCUGAGGUGUUAUUUCUAAAUUUAGCAUGUAAGCAAUCAUAAAAACUGUAAUAGAUAUAACUUUAGUAAAAAAAAAAAAUUAAAUGAUAAUUGAUUUGCUCUUCCUUGUUUGUGAGUUAGUGCAGCAAAUCUGUGCAUCUUUUUUCUGCAUGAGGCUUAAUAAAAUGUUCCAGAGAUACAUGUUUGAAAAAGUCUUGCAAGGGCGUCACAUACCAAAAUAAAUUUCCAUAACCACUGGACUACAGUAACAGUAAUACUCACCUCCUCAGUCAUCCCCAGUCCUCACCUCCUCCGUCAUACAGUCAUCCCCACCAGGCUGGUCACCAGGCUCAGUGAUCUGGGAAUCAGCACCCCACUGUGUAAUUAGAUCUUGGACUUCCUGACAAACAGACCCCAGUCUGUGAGAUUGGGCAGCCACCCUCACCCUGAACACCGGUGUUCCACAAGGCUGUGUGCUGAGUCCUCUGCUCUUCUCUCUGUUUACCCAUGACUGCGUUCCUCUGCACACAUCAAACAUUAUUAAAUUUGCAGAUAUUGCCACAGUGGUUGGCCACGUCAGCAACAAUGAUGAAACGGCCUACAGGGAGGAGAUCCAGCACCUGGCUGCCUGAUGUACCGCCAACAACCUCUCCCUCAACAUGGACAAAACCAAGGAGCUCAUUGUGGACUACCAGAAAAACAAAAGCUGCACACACUGUCCCCGAAUCAACGGUUCUGAGGUAGAGCAUGUCUCCAGCUUCAAGUUCCUGGAAGUACACAACUCCAACUGUGUGACAGUGUGGUACAGCAGCUCCACUGAGGUCUACAUGAAGGCCCUCCAAAAAAGUUGUGAGGACCGCUGAGUGCAUCACUGACACACGGCUCUCUGCCAUCAGAGACAUUCACCACCAGCACUGUGUAUGCAGAGCGUGCAGCAUCAUUAAGGACUCCUCCCACCCCAGCCACACACUGUUUAACCUCCUCCCAUCCAGGAGGAGAUACAGAAGCAUUCGGACCAGAACCAGUCAUCUCAGGUCCAGCUUCUUUCCCUCCACCAUCACCCUGCUGAACUCCACACCACUCCACUGAUAAUCAUACUUCUCCUGUAUAUAUUGGUGAUUCAGUGCAGCCUUGGCAGUAGAGCAUUUGCACGCUGCCGUGGUGAGUACAGCUCGUAUGUUCAGCUCAGCAAAACUGCAGAUAACUAUGUAAAGUGUUGUAAUAUUUGACUUUUGUCCCUACUGUCUUGAAAUACAUGUAAUAGAGACCAGUACACCCAGUUGGGCUUUUCCAAAAUGCUUUAUUUAAAGAGUUAUAAAUUCGAAGCUAAACCUGAACUGAACUGUGCUAACGUUAGCCUGUUUCUUUAGUUGUAUGCUGGCCGAAGCACAAACAGAGACUUAAACUGUGGUUGCCAUACUCAUUACAGGUAUGUUAUAUUCAUGUUUUAAGGUGUUUUAGAACAGUAUCAAUGAGCACAGCAAUGCUAGCUGUUUUAACUAGCUUAUUCUUGCACCAUGUGGUCUGGAUGCCAUAUUUUGUGUUCGCCACCAGAUGGCAUUAUUUCAUAUUUUACCUUUUUGUUGAUGUUUCACUAAUUAAGAAAAGGAUGAUGUAGCUAUAAAAUAUAAUUCAUAUUGACACUGAUGGAAAUGUAAAAUGUAGAUCGAAUCUAAAAACUGAGCGUAAUAUGGAAACACAAGCACUUUUACCACUAUACGAUCAUAGUAAUUUGUAAAGGUAAUUAUAUUAUUUUCAUGAAUGUAUAUUUCUCGUCAUUGGUUCAUUUUGGAAAUAUAUUUAGACCAAUGUAUUCUUUGAGCAGUAGAGUGUUUGCACGCUGCCGUGUUGUAUGCUGGCCGAAGCACGAACAGAGACUUAAACUGUGGUUGCCAUACUCAUUACAGGCAAAUAAAACUGCAUCAUUCGAACUCGGUGUCCAUCAUGGGACCAGGGUGGACGAACACCCGAUAAGAAGGGUCACACAUGUCCAUACAACAGUGUGUUCACUGUAUAUAGAAUACAACAAAUAACUGCUUACUCUAACAGUAUGUAACAUACCGCAUAUAUAUUGUAUUUAUAGUACUAUGCAUAUCCAACCCCAAUUCCAAAAAAGU